Molecule: ribosomal RNA, 748 nt
Rfam family: Bacterial small subunit ribosomal RNA
CGGCUGAACCAGCAACUUGGAGGAAUGUAUAGCUAAAGCUAAAUGUAUUUUGUAAUAAUACAGAUUCGAUUUAUUCGUAUAAAGUUCUAGAUAGAAUUAUGAUAAUGACAUUGUCUAUCUAUAAGUCUUGACCAAAUUACGUGCCAGCAGUCGCGGCAAGACGUUAAAGACUAGUGUUAUUCAUCUUUAAUAGGUUUAAAGCGUACCUAGACGGUAAAUCAAGCCUUAACCGGGACUAAUUUAACUAGAGUUAGAUGUAAGGGUGCAUAAACGUACUGUUGAGUGUAGAGAUGAAAUUCUUUUAUACCAGAUUAUUGGCACGGGUUUAGGCGAAAGCAUCGCCUUAUGUAAUAACUGACGUUGAGGGACGAAGGCUUUGUGUCGCGAACAGGAUUAGAUACCCCAGUAGUCUAAGCAGAAAAUGAUGAGUGUCAUAGGUUAAAUUUCUUAUUUGGUCUAUAAAUGAAAGUGUAAGCAUUCCACCUCAAGAGUAAUUUGGCAACAUUGGAAUUGAAAUCAUUAGACCGUUUCUGAAACCAGUAGUGAAGUAUGUUGUUUAAUUAGAUAAUCCACAAAAAACCUUACCACAAUUUGAAUAUUUUACAAGCGUUGCACGGCUGUCUUCAGUUAAUGUCGUGAGAUUAUGGUUAGUUCCAUCAAAUUAACGUAAACCCUUACUUUAUUUUAUAAAAUAUAAAGUUGUACCUCGCUAUAUUGUUUAGAUAAAAGGGACUAAGACAAGUCAUCA